UGGGGAAUUUUGGACAAUGGGCGAAAGCCUGNUCCAGCAAUGCCGCGUGUGUGAAGAAGGCCUUCGGGUUGUAAGCACUUUUGUCCGGAAAGAAAUCCUUGGCUCUAAUACAGUCGGGGGAUGACGGUACCGGAAGAAUAAGCACCGGCUAACUACGUGCCAGCAGCCGCGGUAAUACGUAGGGUGCAAGCGUUAAUCGGAAUUACUGGGCGUAAAGCGUGCGCAGGCGGGUUUGCUAAAGACCGAUGUGAAAUCCCCGGGCUCAACCUGGGGAACUGCAUUUGGGUGACUGGCAGGCUAGAGUAUGGCAGAGGGGGGUAGAAUUCCACGUNUAGCAGUGAAAAUGCGUAGAGAUGUGGAGGAAUACCGAUGGCGAAGGCAGCCCCCUGGGCAAUACUGACGCUCAUGCACGAAAGCGUGGGGAGCAAACAGGAUUAGAUACCCUGGUAGUCCACGCCCUAAACGAUGUC
Molecule: ribosomal RNA, 470 nt
Filed under: uncultured bacterium
Lineage: Bacteria
Description: partial 16S ribosomal RNA
Rfam family: Bacterial small subunit ribosomal RNA
Source: RNAcentral